CAGGACGAACGCUGGCGGCGUGCCUAACACAUGCAAGUCGAACGGACGAGAGGAGCUUUGCUCCCUCAAGUUAGUGGCGACGGGUGAGUAACGCGUGAGUAACUGCCUUUCAGAGGGGAACAUUCUGAAAAGGAUGCUAAUACCGCAUAAUGUCACAGUAUCGCAUGGUACAGUGACCAAAGGAGCAAUUCCGCUGAAAGAUGGACUCGCGUCCGAUUAGCUAGUUGGCGGGAUAAAGGCCCACCAAGGCGACGAUCGGUAGCCGGACUGAGAGGUUGAUCGGCCACAUUGGGACUGAGACACGGCCCAGACUCCUACGGGAGGCAGCAGUGGGGGAUAUUGCACAAUGGGGGAAACCCUGAUGCAGCAACGCCGCGUGAAGGAAGAAGGUCUUCGGAUUGUAAACUUCUGUCCUCAGGGAAGAUAAUGACGGUACCUGAGGAGGAAGCUCCGGCUAACUACGUGCCAGCAGCCGCGGUAA
Molecule: ribosomal RNA, 481 nt
Filed under: uncultured bacterium
Lineage: Bacteria
Description: bacterial SSU rRNA
Rfam family: Bacterial small subunit ribosomal RNA
Source: RNAcentral